This 263-nucleotide ribosomal RNA is filed under the name uncultured bacterium. RNAcentral describes it as "partial 16S ribosomal RNA". The record is from RNAcentral.
CUGCUGCCUCCCGUAGGAGUUUGGGCCGUGUCUCAGUCCCAAUGUGGCCGUCCACCCUCUCAGGCCGGCUACUGAUCGUCGCCUUGGUGGGCCGUUACCCCGCCAACAAGCUAAUCAGACGCGGGUCCAUCUUACACCACCGGAGUUUUUCACACAAAUCCAUGCGGCUUCGUGCGCUUAUGCGGUAUUAGCACCUAUUUCUAAGUGUUAUCCCCAGUGUAAGGCAGGUUACCACGCGUUACUCACCCGUCCGCCACUAAGUA